UGCAUUUUUUUAACUCCGGAUCCGCAGACUACCGUUCAAAUUAUGACUACAUCACUGACUGACUGUCCCUAGAGUAAGUGACAAAAGACUAGGUGGUUGGUAUUCGAGAUUUUAAAUUCGAAUCCUAAUUGAUUCAUAUUUCUAGCUAAUUUUAUUUCUAAAUGAAAUAAACAAAUCGGAUAGCGUGCUACCUAUCUCUCUAAAAAAAAAAUAAAAUUACGACCACAUCCAUUGCGACCCGAACUAUUAGCCUAUCAAAGGAGACUGUUUGGUUUAAAGUUUGUAAUAUUUUAAAAUUAUUAUAUAUUUUAGGCUAAAAUAUAGAAAUUUUUUUGUCAAUAUCUGUCUUUUUAUUUUUCUCCCUCUGUUAUUGAAAAACUUAUAUUUUAUUCCCUUAAAAAAUAAAAAAUAUUCACACGUGAGUACGCUGUGACAAAAUGAUCAAAUUGCCUCUUAUCUUUUUUGGGGUGGGCGUGGACGGAGAGGUGUGCGAGGGCGAGGGUGAGGCGGCGGAGAUGGGCCAGGGCAUGCGUAUGGGUGUGGAUAGAGAGGUGGGCAAGGGCGAGGCAGCGCGACCAAGGAUGAGGAAGAAGGAGGGUUUUAUGGAUAUUUUGGAUAUAAAAAAUAGGAUAUAAACGGAAUCUUAACGGAACACUGAUGGCUGGGAUCAAAGUGAACAUUUUUUAUUUUUUAAAAGAGUAAAGAGUUGAUUUUUGAAUAACGAGAGAAGUAAAAAUACGGGUAUUGAUAGGGAAGUCUUUCUUAAUUUAGCCUAUAUUUUAUAAUAAAUAUGAUAAAUGUGUUAUUAACUUAUCAAUUUAUUUGAAUGAGAGAUUGUUAAAAAUUAGUAUAUUCUAAUUUUCAUUACGAGAAUGCCUCAUAACCCAUAAUAAUCUAGUAUUAUUAUCAUUUAAAAAUCUAUAACAAUUUUAUUAUUUCACUAACAUUUUUUACAUCCAUUCAGCUCGAAUUGAAUGAUAAUAAUUUGAAUAUUUUUAAUAAUAAAAUAUGAAAAAUUAUCGUAAUAUUAUAA
RNAcentral lists this long non-coding RNA (1033 nucleotides) under Ananas comosus (pineapple). Its description in RNAcentral is "long non-coding RNA (ACOM_LNC028446)". The record is from RNAcentral. Lineage: Eukaryota; Viridiplantae; Streptophyta; Magnoliopsida; Poales; Bromeliaceae.